Molecule: ribosomal RNA, 474 nt
Filed under: Lacrimispora xylanolytica
Lineage: Bacteria; Bacillati; Bacillota; Clostridia; Lachnospirales; Lachnospiraceae
Description: bacterial SSU rRNA
Rfam family: Bacterial small subunit ribosomal RNA
Source: RNAcentral
GUGACCGGCCACAUUGGGACUGAGACACGGCCCAAACUCCUACGGGAGGCAGCAGUGGGGAAUAUUGGACAAUGGGGGAAACCCUGAUCCAGCGACGCCGCGUGAGUGAAGAAGUGUUUCGGCAUGUAAAGCUCUAUCAGCAGGGAAGAAAAUGACGGUACCUGACUAAGAAGCCCCGGCUAACUACGUGCCAGCAGCCGCGGUAAUACGUAGGGGGCAAGCGUUAUCCGGAUUUACUGGGUGUAAAGGGAGCGUAGACGGUUCUGCAAGUCUGGAGUGAAAGCCCGGGGCUCAACCCCGGGACUGCUUUGGAAACUGUGGAACUAGAGUGCAGGACAGGUAAGUGGAAUUCCUAGUGUAGCGGUGAAAUGCGUAGAUAUUAGGAGGAACACCAGUGGCGAAGGCGGCUUACUGGACUGUAACUGACGUUGAGGCUCGAAAGCGUGGGGAGCAAACAGGAUUAGAUACCCUGGU